RNAcentral lists this ribosomal RNA (427 nucleotides) under uncultured bacterium. Its description in RNAcentral is "bacterial SSU rRNA". It matches the Rfam family "Bacterial small subunit ribosomal RNA", at positions 355 to 774 of the family's 1533-position model. The record is from RNAcentral.
UGGGGAAUUUUUCGCAAUGGGCGCAAGCCUGACGAAGCAACGCCGCGUGGAGGAUGAAGGUCUUCGGAUUGUAAACUCCUGUCGACCGGGACGAAUGCACUCGACCUAAUACGUCGGAAUGUUGACGGUACCGGUGGAGGAAGCCACGGCUAACUCUGUGCCAGCAGCCGCGGUAAUACAGAGGUGGCAAGCGUUGUUCGGAAUUACUGGGCGUAAAGGGCGCGUAGGCGGCCUUGUAAGUCUCGUGUGAAAGCCCUCGGCUUAACUGAGGAUCUGCACGGGAUACUGUAAGGCUCGAGUUCGGGAGAGGAAAGCGGAAUUCCGGGUGUAGCGGUGAAAUGCGUAGAUAUCCGGAGGAACACCAGUGGCGAAGGCGGCUUUCUGGACCGACACUGACGCUGAGGCGCGAAAGCUAGGGGAGCAAACG